AUCGCUGCUGUACUGCGGGCUGCUAACUGAGCAUCCUCCUGGAAGGGAUCUAUGGAUUUGCUGGGUGAAUUUUUAUUUUGUGCAAAGCCGGCUCCUGGAGCAGCCGUGGUCACCCCAGGGAUGUGGCAGCUCUGAAAUCCAGGACCUGGAGAGCAGAGCUCCUGAAGGAUGCUGUGUGUUUCUCUGCAAAGCUGCUUCACCUCUUGGGCCACCUAGUUUCUGCACAGGCACAAAACUACAGCGUUCUCCAGCAAAGGGAUCCCUGCAGCUGAGUUUCCUUGUUCUGCAGUCCUUGCUGUGUGCCCAGGACUGUUCUGCUGCUCUCACUCUGCACACUCCAUAGCCUCCAGGUGCUGGCAGACACUGCCCAGUCUCUGGCAGCUCUGUGCAGGCUUUCGAGGUUGCUGAGCUGAGGUGCCUGGAGGAGCCCAGUGUGGGGCUGGGCACACACGUGGCUGCUUCUCAUGAGGAGAAGUCUCCCUUUGUGCUCCAAGCAUGCCAUCAGCCUGAGCAAGCUGCUGUUGACUCACUGCGAGAGGGCACAACUUCAGCACUUUGCACAGGAGAUAAAGCAUGGGGACUUUCCAGGUGAGAUGAGAGCACUGAAGUCCAUCUCUGCCCAGGUGUGCUUGGAAGCCAGGAACAUGCUUUGGGAGGGUGGGACGUGAGGAUGCCUCAAUCCUGCACCUGGGCUUUGUUGUCACUGCUGUUUUGUCACGUCAUCAUACCCCAUCUCUUCCUUGUCACUCUUUUCCUCCCUCUUUCACCACAGUGAUGUCUUAUCUCCAUUAAAUCUUCUUAUUUUAUUAUACCAGGGUGGAUUUUGUUUGCAGCUUAAUGAAUUUUAAACACUUCCCUCCCAUGUGCUCUGUGCCUCCCAGGUGUGACAGAGCCUGGGCAUCUGUCCACAGCCCACAGGGAUUGCAUAGAACUUUGUAAAGCCAUGGGGUGCAGAGGUGGCAUUCCUCUAGGCCCACCUCUGCAUUUCCAGGUUCCUGCUAGGAGCUGGGACUGCCUCCUGUGGAGAAAGUCAAGACAUGUCUGAAAAGAUGUGACAGCAUGUCUACAGGAGUGCAAAAACAAAUAUAUCCCAGGCAUCCAAGUUAGAAAAUAAUGAGGAGGGUGCGUGGUUUUGACUGUAGUGGAGCUGGGGACAUCCCUGAGCGUUGCAGGGUGCAGAGCAAUGGUGCUGGGACAGCUGGGUCACAGCCCAUUCCUGCUGAUUUGAUGAGGGCUGACCACAGGUCUGCAUGAGGUCAGCUCUGCUCCAGCUUUGGGGUGAUUCUCACUGCCCCUCAUCUGCACCAUGCAGUUGCAGUGGCUGUGAGAGCUGUGUGUGCAGCAGUGGCACAACCCCAGUGCUGUUCCCGCACACCCCACCCUGCCGUGAGUCAUGGGAUCCGGGCACUGCAACUGGGCACAACCUCAUUUCCUACACCUGAUCUCCAUUUCCUUCCCUGAUCCAUUAUCUCCACGUCUGUUAUUCAACAAACAAGGUCACUGGAGGAGCAGGCACAGUGCUGAGCCUGUGUCUGGGGCAGGUGGGUGCCCGGAAGCCCAUUCAGCAGCGCUCAGGGCUCUGUUCUAACCCCUAUGGCAGGAUUACUGCACCUGCCAUAUUGCAGGUGCAGGAGUAGUUACACAUCCAGCUCUUCAUCAAAAUUAAUAAUAAAUCAUCAAACCUUGUGUCAUCCAUUUUGAGUACAAAAUACUUAUUUGGAGUAGGAAGAAAAAUUUUCAUGGUUGGAGUGUACUUGUCCCUGCCCUAAGGAGAAUGUUUGCUUGUAUCCUGCUCUUACCAGCUGUAAGUGAAGUAAUAUUGUUCUGCCAGCAGGGGCAUUUGAAUUGUAUCUGCCCUUGCUUCCCUGUGCUGCAGUGCAUUACUGAUCAUUGAGCAGCCUACCAUCCCUAUCCAGCAGCUGAGUUGAUCAAGAUUUAGAGCACACACCCAAAAAUGUGCUCUUCACAUUGUUGCAGUGAUUCACUAGAGCAAAGUGCUUGACUCUACCAGAGCCGAGUGACUCGGCAGAGUAUUCUUUGUAUCUCAGACUAAAUUGAUCAAAGCCUUGGUUCUUCAUCCACCCUGUUAGGCCUUGGGUUGGAGGAAUCUCUUUGACUUGAGAAGCUUGCCAAGUGCCUCUGAAACAAUUUUAAGUUACAAAUAGAAGGCUGUAUGUCACGUAGUCUCAACCUUCCAGGUAUUCAGCACAAAACCCAAAAAUCUGAUUUUUAUAAUGCUUACCUUAAUUACUGCCAACACUGCUAUCUUGUUUUUUUUUUUUUCUGCCAGUGAUUAAGCAAGUUACAGCUUUUUGCCCAGGUUUCUGCCAACGGCUUCUACUGCAGUGCCCGAGUUCUGCAAGUGCUCCUGUAGCACCUGUCACUGAGAUGCAUUAACCACAGUGCCAUUCAGGCUGCCAGGCCGUGGAUUUACCUCCCUUCAAACCCCUGCAGGAAUGUUUGCCUGUUUCUUUUCUUACACAUUCAGUAAUGCUUUGCACUUUCAGAAAACAAUGCGGCAGUGCCAAGGUGUACAGUGGUUCUCUGUAGGUGGCUCUGUGACAUGGCAUUGUCCCGGCCAGCAAGGCUCUUCCAUGCAUGUGUUUUGAAUUAGACCUACUGAAUUUUUGCUUUGAUGUCUCAAAUGUCUGCUGGCUUGUUUGGUCCCUGGAGUGAACAAUGAGAGCGAGCAGAUCGGGGUCUGUACAGCAACCAGGGAACAACUUCAUCUGUGAGUCCUUAGUUGUAGGCCAUGGUGUGAAGGUGGAAAGAAUCCAGCCCAGCUCUCAGUCCCCAGGUGUGGCAAAAGGGACCAUGGGACAUGGGUCCCAUGGGGAUGGAGAGUGUUGGGGUGAGGGCUGAGGUCGGCGUGAGGCUGCGAUGUACCCGGGGCAAGCACACGGCCAUGGCUGCUUUGAGCAAGUUUUGGCUGCAGCUGCAUAAAUGUGGCAGCUCCUGGGGCACAUCAGUCCCACUUCCUCCACAGGGUGCCGAGCAGCAGCAGGGAGAUGGGGUUUGGUGGGCAGGAAGACCUGCUGGGCUCCAACUGUGUGCAAAUUGUAUGAGAAGGGUGUAGUUCUGACGGGAAGAAUUCCUUAUAAUACUGUUACAAAUAAAGUAUGCUUCUGCUGACAGAAAU
Long non-coding RNA from Gallus gallus (chicken), 3139 nucleotides. NCBI's taxonomy places the organism in Eukaryota, Metazoa, Chordata, Aves, Galliformes, Phasianidae. The record is from Ensembl.